This 460-nucleotide ribosomal RNA is filed under the name uncultured bacterium. Its description in RNAcentral is "partial 16S ribosomal RNA". It matches the Rfam family "Bacterial small subunit ribosomal RNA", at positions 338 to 795 of the family's 1533-position model. The record is from RNAcentral.
CCUACGGGAGGCAGCAGUGAGGAAUAUUGGUCAAUGGCCGGAAGGCUGAACCAGCCAUGCCGCGUGAAGGUCAGUGCCCUAUGGGCUUUAAACUUCUUUUGUGCGGGAGCAAUAAUGGUCACGUGUGGCCAGACGAGAGUACCGUACGAAUAAGCAUCGGCUAACUCCGGGCCAGCAGCCGCGGUAAUACGGGGGAUGCAAGCGUUAUCCGGAUUGUUUGGGUUUAAAGGGUGCGUGGGCUGUGAGGUAAGUCAGCGGUGAAAUGCCCCCGCUCAACGGGGUGAAGUGCCAUUGAUACUGCCUUGCUGGAAUGCGGAUGCGGUGGGAGGAAUGUGUGGUGUAGCGGUGAAAUGCAUAGAUAUCACACAGAACACCGAUUGCGAAGGCAUCUCACGGAUCCGCGAUUGACGCUGAGGCACGAAAGCGUGGGUAUCAAACAGGAUUAGAUACCCUGGUAGUC